GGAACUCUUUCCUUCUCUUUCCUGCUGGAAGCUAAUGAAAUAGUUUGUUUUGUCUGUUUGGUUGGUUUUUGGUAAGGAUCCGGAAUGAUCAGGAAGAAAUUCCAAAAGGGAAGAGCUACUUAUUUUUGCCACUGAGUUGGAGGAUCACGUCUCCAGAAGAAUCUGCAAGACCUUGUUGGUAUAUUAUGAAUAACAGAGUCCAGAGAACUUCCUUCUACAGAGCCCCCAGAUGAGAGAGAGCCACUGUCCAAGAGGAUGAGGCUGGACCUGGAGAAGGAGCCACCAUGUCCUCAAAGCCAGCUCAUUUUCUCAUGAGGCAAGGGCUUUUUGACCACUUGCAGACAGAGUGGAGAUAUCAGUGAACCAGACAGCAUCUUGAUAAGACUAUUUAAUUACAUGCACUUGUAUUUUAAAGUUUAGUUACAUUAUAGAGUGAGAGAAAUUUGGAAUAAUUUAAGUUUUAAUUUAUAUGACCAUGUAGUUAAGUUGGUUCCACAUAAACUAUGUAAAAAUGU
This is a long non-coding RNA of Mesocricetus auratus (golden hamster), 515 nucleotides long. RefSeq lists it as uncharacterized. NCBI's taxonomy places the organism in Eukaryota, Metazoa, Chordata, Mammalia, Rodentia, Cricetidae. The record is from RefSeq and is a predicted model, not a curated record. The transcript has 3 exons.